RNAcentral lists this unclassified non-coding RNA (308 nucleotides) under plant metagenome. RNAcentral describes it as "partial contains 5.8S ribosomal RNA, internal transcribed spacer 2, and large subunit ribosomal RNA". The stretch from base 1 to 105 matches the Rfam family "5.8S ribosomal RNA", at positions 50 to 154 of the family's 154-position model. The record is from RNAcentral.
GAAAUGCGAUAAGUAGUGUGAAUUGCAGAAUUCAGUGAAUCAUCGAAUCUUUGAACGCACAUUGCGCCCUUUGGUAUUCCAAAGGGCAUGCCUGUUCGAGCAUCAUUUGUACCCUCAAGCUUUGCUUGGUGUUGGGCGUCUUGUCUCUAGCUUUGCUGGAGACUCGCCUUAAAGUAAUUGGCAGCCGGCCUACUGGUUUCGGAGCGCAGCACAAGUCGCACUCUCUAUCAGCAAAGGUCUAGCAUCCAUUAAGCCUUUUUUUCAACUUUUGACCUCGGAUCAGGUAGGGAUACCCGCUGAACUUAAGC